GACGAACGCUGGCGGCGUGCUUAACACAUGCAAGUCGAACGGAAAGGCCCUGCUUUUGUGGGGUGCUCGAGUGGCGAACGGGUGAGUAACACGUGAGUAACCUGCCCUUGACUUUGGGAUAACUUCAGGAAACUGAGGCUAAUACCGGAUAGGAGCUCCUGCUGCAUAGUGGGGGUUGGAAAGUUUCGGCGGUUGGGGAUGGACUCGCGGCUUAUCAGCUUGUUGGUGGGGUAGUGGCUUACCAAGGCUUUGACGGGUAGCCGGCCUGAGAGGGUGACCGGCCACAUUGGGACUGAGAUACGGCCCAGACUCCUACGGGAGGCAGCAGUGGGGAAUAUUGCACAAUGGGCGGAAGCCUGAUGCAGCAACGCCGCGUGCGGGAUGACGGCCUUCGGGUUGUAAACCGCUUUCGCCUGUGACGAAGCGUGAGUGACGGUAAUGGGUAAAGAAGCACCGGCUAACUACGUG
RNAcentral lists this ribosomal RNA (468 nucleotides) under uncultured bacterium. RNAcentral describes it as "partial 16S ribosomal RNA". It matches the Rfam family "Bacterial small subunit ribosomal RNA", at positions 28 to 507 of the family's 1533-position model. The record is from RNAcentral.